UUGCCAACAAGGCUGGGGAGACUAACCCUCCACCACUGAAUCGCUUUGCACGCUCCAAGUCCCAGAAUGCCUUGUGGAACGCCAUCACUGCAGGAUCGGGAUCAAGGAUAAGGAUAAGAGAGGGAUUCUUAUCGAUCCCGCAGUCCAGAGGAGAUUCUGGCUGACGACCUGCCAGUCUGGACGGGCCAGAUGCCAUGAGAAGACUGCCAUCAGG
Non-coding RNA from Salvelinus sp. IW2-2015, 214 nucleotides. Lineage: Eukaryota; Metazoa; Chordata; Actinopteri; Salmoniformes; Salmonidae. The record is from RefSeq and is a predicted model, not a curated record.